AUUGAACGCUGGCGGCAUGCUUUACACAUGCAAGUCGAACGGCAGCGCGGGCUUCGGCCUGGCGGCGAGUGGCGAACGGGUGAGUAAUGCAUCGGAACGUACCCAGUCGUGGGGGAUAACACAUCGAAAGAUGUGCUAAUACCGCAUACGUCCUGAGGGAGAAAGCGGGGGACCUUCGGGCCUCGCGCGAUUGGAGCGGCCGAUGUCAGAUUAGCUAGUAGGUGGGGUAAAGGCCCACCUAGGCGACGAUCUGUAGCGGGUCUGAGAGGAUGAUCCGCCACACUGGGACUGAGACACGGCCCAGACUCCUACGGGAGGCAGCAGUGGGGAAUUUUGGACAAUGGGGGCAACCCUGAUCCAGCCAUGCCGCGUGAGUGAAGAAGG
RNAcentral lists this ribosomal RNA (384 nucleotides) under uncultured bacterium. Its description in RNAcentral is "bacterial SSU rRNA". It matches the Rfam family "Bacterial small subunit ribosomal RNA", at positions 29 to 414 of the family's 1533-position model. The record is from RNAcentral.